GAGGGGAAGCGCUUGAUGAGUGGAUGUACUAAAAAUUCAACAAUCCGCAGUUAUAGCUCCAUUUUCUGGAAAGCAAAAUCUCUCUGUGGCCCCAGGGCCCUUUAAAUUUUACUGUGACUGUUUUCUUAAGAAAUUCCUGGAGCAGAGCCUAACUUUUGUGUAGGGGGUUGGCGGCGUGCAUAUUGGCGGCCUAAGGGACGGCUGGCUUAAGAGUUGCCGAGCGUUCGAGCGUUCGCACGCGAAGGAAACUUCUCAGGAGUCAGAGCGGCCCGGUGGAGGGCUGUGAAGUGGGGUGGCCCGAGAAUCCUUGAACUUUCAAGGCUUCGGGGAAGUCGGGGAAGGGAAACUGGGGGUGGCCAAGGCGGCCAGACGUUUGCAGGACUUCAACGCUCCCGACUUCUCCCCUCUGCCGGCCCAGACCUGACACGGGUUCGGCGGCCGAACCAGGGAACAGCCAGGGCGUCUGGGCAGGAGGGAGGAGGGCCGGGCCGGGAGGAAGAAGUCCGGGGCUGCCGCCGCCCCGCCCGUCGGGCUGUCCGCCCCGCCUACCCGAGCGAGGCGGAGCCGGCGCCCGCCCGGAGGAGCAGGAGGAGGAGGAGGAGAGGUCGGAGUCGUCUCCAGGAGCCCUUAGAGACAGAGUCCCCGGCAGCGGCGGUGACGGCAGGGGCAGCGCACCGGCAGAUUCAUUCCAUCACCUAAAACCUGGUAACGGUGGGCCACACAGAGUCUCACGGAGUCAUUUCCCCCUGGGUGCUCAUGAGGAGGAUGCCACAUAAGGCAGCGAACAACAUCCCUAUAGAAAUGACUGAUGAGGACCACCCUCCAUGUAGACCAACGAUGUGUGACACCUGAGUGCUGCCCAAGAAGAGCCUUCCAGCCCAGGUGUGCAUUUCUCCGCUGGCCUUGCUUCACCCAAGUAUAAAAUGUAAUAUUUUCAGCUGUAAUAACAAGUAUAUAUAUUCAUCCCUCCUCCCUCCCCUGUGAUGUGUGUCACAGACUGUCAUGGCUCUUGAUGCUGAGCCCAGACAUUUGGCUACGGCCCAGACUUGGCACACGAGUUGAAAUCUCCUUACCAUCCCAGUUCUAAAAGAAUAAUAAAC
RNAcentral lists this long non-coding RNA (1100 nucleotides) under Balaenoptera musculus (blue whale). RNAcentral describes it as "lncRNA (ENSBMSG00010004672.1)". Lineage: Eukaryota; Metazoa; Chordata; Mammalia; Artiodactyla; Balaenopteridae. The record is from RNAcentral.